RNAcentral lists this ribosomal RNA (491 nucleotides) under uncultured bacterium. RNAcentral describes it as "partial 16S ribosomal RNA". It matches the Rfam family "Bacterial small subunit ribosomal RNA", at positions 29 to 507 of the family's 1533-position model. The record is from RNAcentral.
GUGCACGCUGGCGGUAGGCCUAACCCCUGCAAGUCGCACGGCAGCACAGUAAGAGCUUGCUCUUACGGGUGGCGAGUGGCGGACGGGUGAGGAAUACAUCGAAAUCUACUUUUUCGUGGGGGAUAACGUAGGGAAACUUACGCUAAUACCGCAUACGACCUACGGGUGAAAGCAGGGGAUCUUCGGACCUUGCGCGAUUGAAUGAGCCGAUGUCGGAUUAGCUAGUUGGCGGGGUAAAGGCCCACCAAGGCGACGAUCCGUAGCUGGUCUGAGAGGAUGAUCAGCCACACUGGAACUGAGACACGGUCCAGACUCCUACGGGAGGCAGCAGUGGGGAAUAUUGGACAAUGGGCGCAAGCCUGAUCCAGCCAUACCGCGUGGGUGAAGAAGGCCUUCGGGUUGUAAAGCCCUUUUGUUGGGAAAGAAAAGCAGCAGGUUAAUACCCCGCUGUUCUGACGGUACCCAAAGAAUAAGCACCGGCUAACUUCGUG